GAUGUCUAAAGCAGGGCCUCUCUCUCCUUCCCCCAGUGCUAAUCACAGUACUUGAAUAAAUAAGCUGAGGAAACCCCAUAUGAUAUGAGAGCUCAGCCAGAAGGCACCUGCCUGCAGCCAAGAAGUGAGCCCUCAUCAGGACCGGAAUCAGCCAGCACCUUGGUCUUACACAUCCCAGUCUCCUGAAUCUCUGGGCUCCACUCAUACAGAGGUUUUAGGGCCUGAGGAGGAAUAAUCUGGGGAAUAAAGUAGCAUUUCCACCAAAUUAGAAGCUGAGAUUCCUGCCUGGUUAUUUCAGUCUUCUCAUGACAAUGUGAACACACAAAAAGCUGCAAGACAAGAACUCUGCAAGGGUUAAAGAAGAC
Molecule: long non-coding RNA, 365 nt
Filed under: Heterocephalus glaber (naked mole-rat)
Lineage: Eukaryota; Metazoa; Chordata; Mammalia; Rodentia; Bathyergidae
Description: lncRNA (ENSHGLG00100033695.1)
Source: RNAcentral